Molecule: ribosomal RNA, 458 nt
Filed under: uncultured bacterium
Lineage: Bacteria
Description: SSU rRNA
Rfam family: Bacterial small subunit ribosomal RNA
Source: RNAcentral
AGAAUCAACGCUGGCGGCGUGCCUAACACAUGCAAGUCGCACGAGAAAGGGGUUUCGGCCCUGAGUAAAGUGGCGUACGGGUGAGUAACACGUGACUAACCUACCCUCGAGUGGGGAAUAACCUAGAGAAAUCUGGGCUAAUACCGCAUAACACUCAUGAGUCAAAGCAGCAAUGCGCUUGAGGAGGGGGUCGCGGCAGAUUAGCUAGUUGGUGAGGUAAUGGCUCACCAAGGCGAUGAUCUGUAUCCGGCCUGAGAGGGCGCACGGACACACUGGAACUGAAACACGGUCCAGACUCCUACGGGAGGCAGCAGUGGGGAAUUUUGCGCAAUGGGGAAACCCUGACGCAGCAACGCCGCGUGGAGGAUGAAAUCCCUUGGGAUGUAACUCCUUUCGAUAGGGAAGAUAAUGACGGUACCUAGUAGAAGAAGCCCGGCUAACUUCGCGCCAGCAGCCGC